Molecule: ribosomal RNA, 490 nt
Filed under: uncultured bacterium
Lineage: Bacteria
Description: partial 16S ribosomal RNA
Rfam family: Bacterial small subunit ribosomal RNA
Source: RNAcentral
AUUGAACGCUGGCGGCAGGCCUAACACAUGCAAGUCGAACGGUAACAGGAAGCAGCUUGCUGCUUUGCUGACGAGUGGCGGACGGGUGAGUAAUGUCUGGGAAACUGCCCGAUGGAGGGGGAUAACUACUGGAAACGGUAGCUAAUACCGCAUAACGUCGCAAGACCAAAGAGCGGGACCUUAGGGCCUCUUGCCAUCGGAUGUGCCCAGAUGGGAUUAGCUAGUAGGUGGGGUAACGGCUCACCUAGGCGACGAUCCCUAGCUGGUCUGAGAGGAUGACCAGCCACACUGGAACUGAGACACGGUCCAGACUCCUACGGGAGGCAGCAGUGGGGAAUAUUGCACAAUGGGCGCAAGCCUGAUGCAGCCAUGCCGCGUGUAUGAAGAAGGCCUUCGGGUUGUAAAGUACUUUCAGCGGGGAGGAAGGGAGUAAAGUUAAUACCUUUGCUCAUUGACGUUACCCGCAGAAGAAGCACCGGCUAACUCCGUG